This is an unclassified non-coding RNA of Erinaceus europaeus (western European hedgehog), 353 nucleotides long. Its record names the gene 7SK. It matches the Rfam family "7SK RNA". From Rfam's summary of the family: 7SK was discovered as an abundant small nuclear RNA in the mid-70s but a possible function has only recently been suggested. Two independent studies have found that 7SK RNA binds the CDK9/cyclin T complex (known as elongation factor P-TEFb). P-TEFb activates transcription by phosphorylating the C-terminal domain of RNA polymerase II. The record is from Ensembl. Lineage: Eukaryota; Metazoa; Chordata; Mammalia; Eulipotyphla; Erinaceidae.
GGAUGUGAGGACAAACUGGCUGCGACAUCUGUCACCCCAUUGAUCGCCAGGGUUGAUUCGGCUGAUCUGGUUGGGUAGGUGGGUGUGCCCUUCCUCCCUCACCGCUCCCUCCCAAAGCUGCGCGCUCGGUCGAAGAGGACGGCCUUCCCCAAAUAGAGAUGGACCGGUCUUCAGUCGAGGGUAUACGAGUAGCUGCGCUCCCCUGCUAGAACCUCCAAACAAGCUCUCUCCCUUCUGUCUUACCCUCCUCUCUCCAUUUCUCUCUGUCCUAUCCAACAACAACAUCAAUAACAACAAUAAUAAUAACUACAACAACAAAACAACAAGGGCAACGAAAGGGAAUAAAUAAAUAU